This 5645-nucleotide long non-coding RNA is filed under the name Daucus carota (carrot). RNAcentral describes it as "long non-coding RNA (DCAR_LNC006268)". The record is from RNAcentral. Lineage: Eukaryota; Viridiplantae; Streptophyta; Magnoliopsida; Apiales; Apiaceae.
UUAAGUAAGUGUGUGUCUGUACAGUCUCUUUCUCUCCACUAAUUCGUACACAGGCAUGUCGUAAGACGAUAAGCCAUAAGAAACUAAGUAAACAACCUUUGUUCGAGGAAUCAGAACAUUCCUUGGUAUAGGCAACCCUGCUGCAGAAGCAUACUCUUGUGAUGCUUCAAGUUUGGCCUGUGUAAAGCGUGUACCCUCAGGAAGAAGAGCCAUCCAAAAAGGCCUUGGAUAAUGACGUAGCUGCUGAAGUCCUGACUGCAUUAUGAUAACCCCAAAAGAAAAGGAUGUUUAUUAGACAGUAAAUUUCAUUCUAGAUUUAUGUAUAACAGGGUUGAAGCUAAUGACCUUCAAUGUGUUCUCAUCGCUGGCCCAAUUUCUUUCCAAGAAAAUAUAUUCAGAAAAGUACAUUGACCAGCCAAUGACCUGCAUCACAGAUACUUCAUUAUUCCCCUAUUCAAUAUAUAUCAGAUGCCAUCCUAACAAGUGGUGAGUUUUAAGUUUUAAUUGAAUGUACACGUGUUGAAGUAAGAUAGUGCUCUAUACCAAAACUUACAGUCAAUACAGUUGUGCAAUGUGUUGUGUUUGUGUAUCAUAACAAUCUACAAGAGAGAAGAAAUCUUUAACACCAAAUAAAUGUAGUGGUGGAUGUAAUUCAAUUUGGUCUUCUUCUUAAAAUUAGGCUUUCCAGUACAGUGACAUUUCAGGUUUAGGUUUUUGAUACAUUUAUCAAAUUUCAAUUGAACAAAAGCAACAACUAAGUAAAAUUCAAACAAAAAACUUAACGAAAUAUCAGUCCUAAACAGCAUAUAAUUGCAUGACAAUAUCAAAGAGUGUAAGAAUAUUAUAGUAUUAAAACUGAGAGAUAUAUGAUAUCAACUACAUUAACAUAUGGUUGUGGCUUCCUGAGAUAUUUUUCCUUUUUCUUUUUACCAAAUUUGAUCAGUAAAGGUUGGUCAUCUCAACCGGAUUAAUAAUUAGAUAAGAGAAACUUACAGGGAGGUAUCUUGAUGAUUUUUUGGAUACAGCCAAAGCGCUACCUAGGCAACCAGAUCGCUGUCAGCAAAACCAGUAUUAGUUUGUGAAUAAAGUAUGUGCGAAAAAGACAAAUUUUUAAUAAAAAAAACACUGUUACUAGAAUAAAGAUGCUGUGCAUUCUAUUCAGUUAGUCGAAUAUGAAUUAUAAUCUAACUCGAGGGGUAGCAAGAGUCAGGAUCAGGAGAUAGACAUCCAGCACAAAUGUGGAAGCUCUUUUGUUAUAUAUCAGAAUAAUGUCAAAGCCUUUAAAUUGAACCCAAUCUAUACGACAAUAAUUUAUUGCAAUUUUCAAGUCCUACUUGAAGACUAAAUAAUCUACAAAGAUAUGCACCUGAGCUAGAAUCCAUCCAACCAGCCAGUCAAUGUCGCUCCUAUGAUUACAAAUAACGAGAGCAUGUUCUUUACCUAAAAAUACUUUGUUAUAAGUUCAUAUGACAAAUGAUGUAACCUUGUAUCCAAAAAAAAAAAAAUAGUUUUGAGUAGAAAGAUAAUCAGGCAUGCUCACCCAGUAAUUGAAAAGAUUCAGAGUCCAUAAACAGCUCAACCUGCAAGUGAUUUAGUCAGAAAGAGGAACAUUUGUUCAAUAAAUGCCAAUUUACUAGGAUGCCAAGUAAUCACCAUACUUUCCUAACUUCCGUAUUGCCAAUGAAAUGCUUUGUAAAGAUCACAAAUUACCAGAAAAAGAUGUAAGAGGACCAGACACAUUAAACCAUCGUGUAUCCUCUAUUCUGGUAAUACUGGGAGAAAUCACCCCCUUUUUUGCUAAAUCAAAUUAACCCAUUUUUAUUCUCAUUUAUUUGAAGUUACCACAAAUUUGCUUAUAUUUCCAUCAAAUUUAUUAUUUCUGGAAAUACAUGUAUUAGUAUAUAAUAUAAAAAAGUAAUAGCAUAAGAGCCUUCAUAUAAAUAGAAGUCUCUUUUCUAGAGUCGGCUUAUCAGUUAUUAGCCUGAGCAAUAAACGGUUGCUAUUUGCAUUAGUUAGAUUUCACUACCUGCAAUCAGACACAACUUAGGUUGUAUCAAGUGAAGCAGCUGGUUUGCGUAUGUAGUUUAAGUCCCAGGGCUCCCUAUUUAUUUAGCUUUCAUUCUGUUCUUUUUUGAGCGCGGCAAUAAUGAAAUGAGUCAUAUAUUGCAUCAAUCUAGUGAGUCAUUGAAAGUCUUGAAAAAAUUUAUAAAUUGAGUGCUGAAAUUCAGACUGUUUAAAAAUCGAAUAAAAAUCUUUAAAUUCAGAUAAGAAUUCAGAAAGACCACAUGCAUUGUGAAGCAAAAUUUAUGAAUUUACUGCUCAAGUUUGCAGUAUGAUGCCAAUUACAAUUUGAUACAGUGAAGCUAAUACCUUCACAUUUGCCCACCAAUCUGCAAGCCAUAUGACUUCAAGCCACAGCAUCUCUGUGACGUAUAUGUUGAUUAUUCUGUACACUCUCUUUGAAAAUGGCCGAACUAGAAGGAAGAAAAUCGCCUGAAAGAAAAAGUAAGCAAAAGAUAUAUAUAUGACGGCACAAAAGUCCAUAUUUCAGUAUCCAAAAAAAGUUUGGACUUGAUGAUAUAAAGAAAUAGAGUCUAAGAUAUAAACUGCCAGCAUAUCAACUGGAAAAAUCAAAAUGUAGUAAUAGUGGACGACUUGAUAAGUCCCUCAUAUAGAAUAAUUACUCAAAUUAACCAUUAAAAAUACAAGCAAGAGCGGUAAAUUCAACUGGAAAGACAACAUUCCCAACGCCAUUCACGUUUUCAUCUCUCCCAGCCACUCGUGCAUAUGUAUCAAUCAUUGGUUUGAUUCUACAGUUGAGUUAUCGAAACAAUGCAACUAAAUUCUACAAUUUGUCACUAUAUUAAUAAUUAAGACAGAGGCUAGGUGAUCAAUUGAUUGUAAUAACUCACCAAUACAUCAUUAAAAUUAAAACCACAUUGAAUUUGGAAUAAAUUCAUUCUCUAGAACAAACAAAAAUUCAAGACUCAUUUAUAAGUUGUCACUUGUUGGCAUUAUUAUAUAUAUUGAUAAUUUAUCAAAAAAAAACCUUUGCAUGUCCUGUUUACAGAAAAUUUAAAUUAUAUUGCUUUGCAAUCAUAAGUAUAUUGAACAAAAUGUAAGAUAUGAAUUGCUGCAUGUAAGAUGUAAGAAUAAAAAAGAAAGAUGAAAACCUGAAGUGAGUUGACAAUGAGGCCAGAAACAAGGAGGAGAAGUCCGAGAGGAAGAAUCACGAAAACGGGGGCCAUUAUCUUUACACACAGAAUGAUUGUUGAAAAUGGGAUCUACAAAGGAAAACUUUAAACAGUGGAACAGGAUUUUUAAUAAAAUGGGAUUCACGACUUCUUAAUUUAAUCAUCAUCAUUGUAAAUUUAGUUGUGAUUUUAAUGGGAACUUUGGAAACCUAACAUCACAUGAGAUGUAUUUGAAGUCCAAAUCAUAUAAUAUUAUAUUUCUCGUAAAGUCAUAAUACUAUAUUGUGUAGCAUUUUAAUUUUAUAAUCUAAUGUUAUAUAAAAUAUUGUUUUAGCAUAAUAUACGAGAUUAUAUUUUUAGAAUGCAGAAUAUUUUAAUUUCAAUUUAAUAUCCAAAAAUUUUCUCAACUAUAUAAAAAAUAUCGCUUAAACCUUGUGUUUUUUUAGCAUAAUACCCCCUCUCUCGACAAGUUUUUUACAUUAUCUUUUUACACAUUUCAAUACUUUUAUAAAAUAUAAUUUCAUGAUAUCCUUCUAAAAGGUAUUUUUCUGAAUAAAAGUUUAACGCUUAAAUUUUUAUUCAAAAAAUAAAAAUAUUAAAAACGUUUUGAAAUUAUAUUUUGCAAGAGUGUCCCAGGUCGAAACUUACGGCAAAAGGGGUGUAUAGACCUAAUUUAUAACAUAAUUUUUUUACGAUGCUCGGGAGCAUGAGUGUGUAGCAGCCUAAGUGAAUUAGUUGAGAUGGACGCAAGCUGGCCCGACACCGGUUUAAGGAAAAUAAAAAAAAUUGUACAUUUAAAUUUAAAAAAUUGAUAUGUAUGAGCCUCUGUUCUAAAAGUUAGCUCGCCGAACUGAUUAAAUCUCCGAUUAAUCACUGAUUAAUCCAAUUAAUCCCCGAUCAAUUCAAUUAAUCACCGAUUAAUCCCUGUUCUGUGACUUCACCGAUUAAGUCCGAUUCCCGCUUUUUACAACACUAGGUCACCCUUUUAUUUAAUGGUCCUUGCUUGCCUGCCCUAAGAAUAAAAACAGACAGAGCGAGAGGGGGGAAAGAAAUUUGGGGGAGUUUGCAGAGAAAAACAGCGCAGUAGAAUCAAUAGAUUAACAAUGGAGAAUCAACAACAGCAACAGCAAUGGAUGAUGAGCGCACAGGCCAGCAUAACCGCCACUCCCACAGUCACCUACUCUUCCCUCCCGUAUCACCAGCCCACCACUCACGAAGAAGUCCGCACUCUCUGGAUCGGCGAUUUGCCCUACUGGGCCGACGAGUCUUAUCUCAACUCCUGGUUCUCUCCCGCCGCCCAAUUGCUCUCUAUCAAAGUAAUUCGCAACAAACUCACGGGUCAACCCGAAGGUUAUGGCUUCGUCGAGUUUCCGUCUCACGCUAUCGCGGAGCGGAUUCUGCAGACGUACAAUGCGGCUCAAAUCCCCGGGACUGAAUUGACUUUUAGGUUGAAUUGGGCGUCUUUUGGGAUUGGGGAUAAGAGGCCUGAAGCGGGGCCUGAGCAUUCGAUUUUUGUGGGGGAUUUGGCGCCUGAGGUUACGGAUUUGUUGUUGCAGGAGACGUUUGCGGCGCAGUAUCCGUCGGUUAGGGGUGCUAAGGUUGUUACUGAUCCGGCGACUGGCCGGUCUAAGGGAUAUGGGUUUGUUAAAUUUGCGGAUGAGAAUGAGAGGAAUCGGUCCAUGACGGAAAUGAAUGGGGUUUAUUGUUCUACGAGGCCUAUGCGGAUUAGUGCAGCUACGCCUAAGAAGACUCCGGGAUUUCAACAGCCGUAUGCAGGAGCAGUUAAAGGUCUACUUUCUUCUUUCAAUUCUUAGUUGCCUAGUUUCUUGUAUUAAUAAGCAUUGCACCAUGUCUUCUAAAGCUGCCCACAGCUCACUCCAUCUGCACCACCCACGUCAGUCGUCACACUGUGAUCUAGUUAAGUUAGAUCAAAACUUACAUGAUUCGGAAACCCCAAUUCCUUACUGCAUAAACACAGUUCUGUAUGAUAAUCAAAAUUAUGAUAUUACAUCUUGUUUGCUUNCAAUUCAAUUAAUCACCGAUUAAUCCCUGUUCUGUGACUUCACCGAUUAAGUCCGAUUCCCGCUUUUUACAACACUAGGUCACCCUUUUAUUUAAUGGUCCUUGCUUGCCUGCCCUAAGAAUAAAAACAGACAGAGCGAGAGGGGGGAAAGAAAUUUGGGGGAGUUUGCAGAGAAAAACAGCGCAGUAGAAUCAAUAGAUUAACAAUGGAGAAUCAACAACAGCAACAGCAAUGGAUGAUGAGCGCACAGGCCAGCAUAACCGCCACUCCCACAGUCACCUACUCUUCCCUCCCGUAUCACCAGCCCACCACUCACGAAGAAGUCCGCACUCUCUGGAUCGGCGAUUUGCCCUACUGGGCCGACGAGUCUUAUCUCAACUCCUGGUUCUCUCCCGCCGCCCAAUUGCUCUCUAUCAAAGUAAUUCGCA